UAAAAUGCUUUGAGUAGGAAGAGUACGUACAGAGCCUUUAAGAGAGAAGAAUCCUUGGCUGAAAGAUUCUUUAAGGGGUAUGUAGGGAAGGUCGCCUAGGAGCUAUUUAGCUGAAGUUUGAGUAAGCUAAGUCGGGAUAACCCGUUAUCUAAUUGAGUGUACAUGAUUGAAUGUUGGAUCAUGUAAACAAAGGUGGUACCGCGAAUAAACUCUCUUCGUCCUUUGG
Molecule: non-coding RNA, 226 nt
Filed under: Alkalihalobacillus pseudalcaliphilus
Lineage: Bacteria; Bacillati; Bacillota; Bacilli; Caryophanales; Bacillaceae
Description: Bacillus pseudalcaliphilus T-box sequence
Rfam family: T-box leader
About the family: Uncharged tRNA acts as the effector for transcription antitermination of genes in the T-box leader family.
Source: RNAcentral